AGUGAAAGGAAGUUUUCUCUGUUUUGCAUGACUACAAGUGUCACAUACAUGAUGAGUAUCAACAGUAAUAAAAGAGUAUUGUUUGCUUAAGACAUGUAAUCUUUCAAGUAAAGGGUGUUCUAGUCUAUAAUGCCAUAGUAUUUUGUCUGUGAUAUUACAAUUAAUAAAAGGAGCAAAACAAUGCGGUUUAGAACGGCUAGAAGCAGGCAAGGUAGUGACAAGGUACAAGCCAACGGUGACUUUA
This 244-nucleotide long non-coding RNA is filed under the name Phaseolus vulgaris (common bean). Its description in RNAcentral is "long non-coding RNA (PVUL_LNC003990)". Lineage: Eukaryota; Viridiplantae; Streptophyta; Magnoliopsida; Fabales; Fabaceae. The record is from RNAcentral.